GUCUACGACCAUAUCACGUUGAACACACCGGUUCUCGUCCGAUCACCGAAGUUAAGCAACGUUGAGUGCAGUCAGUACUUGGAUGGGUGACCGCCUGGGAACACUGCAUGUUGUAGGCG
This is a ribosomal RNA of Neocloeon triangulifer, 119 nucleotides long. Lineage: Eukaryota; Metazoa; Arthropoda; Insecta; Ephemeroptera; Baetidae. The record is from RefSeq and is a predicted model, not a curated record.